UGAAAGAUAUCUGCACAUCCACUUU
This 25-nucleotide non-coding RNA is filed under the name Rattus norvegicus (Norway rat). The record is from RNAcentral. Lineage: Eukaryota; Metazoa; Chordata; Mammalia; Rodentia; Muridae.